AACGAACGCUGGCGGCAGGCUUAACACAUGCAAGUCGAACGCCCCGCAAGGGGAGUGGCAGACGGGUGAGUAACGCGUGGGAAUCUACCUAGUUCUACGGAACAACAGAGGGAAACUUCUGCUAAUACCGUAUACGCCCUAAGGGGGAAAGAGUUAUCGGAAUUAGAUGAGCCCGCGUAAGAUUAGCUAGUUGGUGGGGU
This 200-nucleotide ribosomal RNA is filed under the name uncultured bacterium. Its description in RNAcentral is "partial 16S ribosomal RNA". It matches the Rfam family "Bacterial small subunit ribosomal RNA", at positions 29 to 258 of the family's 1533-position model. The record is from RNAcentral.